This 454-nucleotide ribosomal RNA is filed under the name uncultured bacterium. Its description in RNAcentral is "partial 16S ribosomal RNA". It matches the Rfam family "Bacterial small subunit ribosomal RNA", at positions 28 to 507 of the family's 1533-position model. The record is from RNAcentral.
GAUGAACGCUGACAGAAUGCUUAACACAUGCGAGUCUACUUGAACUUCGGUUUGGGUGGCGGACGGGUGAGUAACGCGUAAAGAACUUGCCUCACAGAUAGGGACAACAUUUGGAAACGAAUGCUAAUACCUGAUAUUAUGAUUUUAGGGCAUCCUAGAAUUAUGAAAGCUAUAUGCACUGUGAGAGAGCUUUGCGUCCCAUUAGCUAGUUGGAGAGGUAACGGCUCACCAAGGCGAUGAUGGGUAGCCGGCCUGAGAGGGUGAUCGGCCACAAGGGGACUGAGACACGGCCCGUACUCCUACGGGAGGCAGCAGUGGGGAAUAUUGGACAAUGGACCAAGAGUCUGAUCCAGCAAUUCUGUGUGCACGAUGAAGUUUUUCGGAAUGUAAAGUGCUUUCAGUUGGGAAGAAAAAAAUGACGGUACCAACAGAAGAAGUGACGGCUAAAUACGUG